Molecule: long non-coding RNA, 674 nt
Organism: Phalaenopsis equestris
Lineage: Eukaryota; Viridiplantae; Streptophyta; Magnoliopsida; Asparagales; Orchidaceae
Exons: 3
Source: RefSeq, a predicted model, not a curated record
ACAAAAUUGUGUGGUCUGCAUGUAAUAUUCGUAACAGUGUUUUUUGUGAAACUGCCACAUGGUGGCGUAAUGCUCGAGCCAUGUGGUUCAUAUCUGAAAACUAGGUUUUCUUUUGCAGUAUGGUAUAUUCUUUUAUUUGCAGCGACGAGUUUAGGUGCAGUUGAGGUCUGGAACCUAUGAAUUUCAACGCAUGCUUAUUUAUUUUCACUGAAAUUGUUUUUUCAAGGAUAAUGGAGUGGUCCUGAUUUGUUGGCAAUUUAAAAUUUGUAUUUUAGCCCAGAUGAUAAUAAUCAAAAGCUUGAGGAUCCGGCAGCAAAAGAGGCUCUUUUGAAGGCUGCUGGAUCAUCUGCUGUGCUUCCACUGGCUGAUGAGAAGAAAGAAGAUGUAGUAGGAUGCAAGCAUCAAAGCAGUGAGGAUAUUGUUGAAGAAGUGGACCAGCAACCAUCUCUAGGGGCAAAGAUAAAGAAGUUUUUCCUUUCUUGAUUUUAUCACUAAGGCUCUGAAGUGUCAGCCAGUUAGAGACGUAGAGGAGGUUUUGGUUUUAGUUGGAUUAGUGGCUGAAUAGGGUUUGUUGUUGUGCCAGCUAUAUGUUGAUUUUUUGUAGCAGAAUGCAUCUGUAUGGAUUGGUGAUCUCAGCUAAAUAUUUUUGGGAAAAUGAAUGAGUUUCGACGUUA